AAAACUCACCAGCAGCCAGGAGCACAAAGGAGGAGCCUAACAAUGUAAAGCUUCAGCUGAGAGGCAAGGAGGUGCCUGUGUCCAGCUGAGUCUGAGCAGGAGGCUCAGCAGGGAAUUGCCCUUCACAGGGCAGCACAAAGGGAAUCGAUUUUCUCUCCUGUGCUGUAGCAUCCACAGGUGAAGCCAAGCAAUCAGGACACAGUGUUUGAGUGGAUGGCUGUUUUCUGCCUGGGCCUAUUGAAAGAAGGCACUUGUGACCCUUCCUGAUGAAGAGACGUGGAUCACAGUGCUUGGUAGGAAUUGUACUUGUGUUUGAAAACAUUUGCUGUGUAGUAUGCCAGAUAACCACGUGUGGAGAGCAGCCUGCUUGCUGUCAUCACUUGCUACUGUUUGUUCAGUUAUCUGUACUCUCCAUAGGCCAGUUUUGGGGUUAUCAGGGGAACAUUCCCAGCUUGUUUCCACGAACUUCCUUUCAUGCAAUAGAAGAGGAAGAAGUGAGGCUGUAAAAGAAUCAGUGGUGAGACUCAGGGCAAGCACAGUAACUCAAAUUACAUCCAGUUCCUUUGUCUGAAAUUUCUGUGAUACCAGGUAUGCAACACCACCUCACCUGAACUCACCAGCCAUCAUAUUGAAUAUUAAUGUCAUCUGCUUGGAAAUCAGUCUCAUCUCACCUGAGGCAUCCACAGUGUCUUGUGGCUCUUCAGGAAAUGGUAACAAGCUGAGAAACGCUUGUACCCUCCCUUCAGCAGGAGCACGGGGUGGCGGGUGAAGUGCUCCAGGUUUUUGGCAUGGAGGAAGGCAUCUCCUCCCUCUGCACCUAAAGACACCAAAGAGCUGUUUGCCUGGGCAGGUUCAGUGUCUCCAUCUCCUGACAUCCACAGCAAACCCCUUUGCAUUCCAUCUAAUGCUCUGGAGAAAACUUUGUUAAAAUUUCAAUUUAUUCUUUACUUGUUGCUGCAGGACAGUUACAGGGGGUGCUGCUUUUCCCCUCUCAUCCUGAUCUUUUAUUCCUCUCCUGGUUUCUUUUCUAGGACCAGAUUUCUUUUCCUCUCCCCGUUUUUCUUUGGGAAAUGCUUGUAAUAAGUUUCCAUAAUAGGGAAGUUUUAUUAAUUUAAAUUUAAUAAUCUUAGCUUUAUGGAGGCCCUUUUCUUUAGUCUGCUUUAGGCAAACAGGAAAAAAAGGAAGUGUGUUAAUUAAAUUCUUCACAAAUGUUUUAAACACCCCCCUCAGUGAGGUGGAUUACGUGAGAUGGCUGCUUCUCCUCCUCCUCCUCCCAAGGAAUCCAUCCUGCUUCCCUCUAGCUAUGUCUGCUUUAGAAAUAGAUCAGCACAACAGAAACCCAGCUCUGAUUCUCCACACCUUCCCUGCACUGCCUCAGCACUUAGGAACCUGCUUGUUUUAUUCAUUCCCCUUACACCUCCACUAUGUUU
Long non-coding RNA from Passer domesticus (house sparrow), 1430 nucleotides. RefSeq lists it as uncharacterized. NCBI's taxonomy places the organism in Eukaryota, Metazoa, Chordata, Aves, Passeriformes, Passeridae. The record is from RefSeq and is a predicted model, not a curated record. The transcript is spliced from 2 exons.